AGAGAUGUAGCUCAGUGGAACAGUACCUGCCUGACAAGUAAGAAGCCUGGGUUCUUUUUCCAGUAUCCCUC
RNAcentral lists this transfer RNA (71 nucleotides) under Cavia porcellus (domestic guinea pig). It matches the Rfam family "tRNA". Rfam says of the family: Transfer RNA (tRNA) molecules are approximately 80 nucleotides in length. Their secondary structure includes four short double-helical elements and three loops (D, anti-codon, and T loops). Lineage: Eukaryota; Metazoa; Chordata; Mammalia; Rodentia; Caviidae. The record is from Rfam by way of RNAcentral.